This 397-nucleotide ribosomal RNA is filed under the name uncultured bacterium. RNAcentral's name for it is "bacterial SSU rRNA". It matches the Rfam family "Bacterial small subunit ribosomal RNA", at positions 30 to 429 of the family's 1533-position model. The record is from RNAcentral.
AUUGAACGCUGGCGGCAUGCCUUACACAUGCAAGUCGAACGGCAGCGGACCUUCGGGUGCCGGCGAGUGGCGAACGGGUGAGUAAUAUAUCGGAACGUACCUUUCAGGUGGGGGAUAACGUAGCGAAAGUUACGCUAAUACCGCAUAUUCUGUGAGCAGGAAAGCAGGGGAUCGCAAGACCUUGCGCUGAUUGAGCGGCCGAUAUCAGAUUAGCUAGUUGGUGAGGUAAAGGCUCACCAAGGCGACGAUCUGUAGCGGGUCUGAGAGGAUGAUCCGCCACACUGGAACUGAGACACGGUCCAGACUCCUACGGGAGGCAGCAGUGGGGAAUUUUGGACAAGUGGGCGCAAGCCUGAUCCAGCCAUGCCGCGUGAGUGAAGAAGGCCUCGGUUGUAAG